This 423-nucleotide ribosomal RNA is filed under the name uncultured bacterium. RNAcentral's name for it is "bacterial SSU rRNA". It matches the Rfam family "Bacterial small subunit ribosomal RNA", at positions 67 to 485 of the family's 1533-position model. The record is from RNAcentral.
CGGCAGCACGGGAGCAAUCCUGGUGGCGAGUGGCGAACGGGUGAGUAAUAUAUCGGAACGUGCCCAGUCGUGGGGGAUAACGUAGCGAAAGCUACGCUAAUACCGCAUACGAUCUAUGGAUGAAAGCGGGGGACCGUAAGGCCUCGCGCGAUUGGAGCGGCCGAUAUCAGAUUAGGUAGUUGGUGAGGUAAAGGCUCACCAAGCCGACGAUCUGUAGCUGGUCUGAGAGGACGACCAGCCACACUGGGACUGAGACACGGCCCAGACUCCUACGGGAGGCAGCAGUGGGGAAUUUUGGACAAUGGGCGCAAGCCUGAUCCAGCAAUGCCGCGUGCAGGAUGAAGGCCUUCGGAUUGUAAACUGCUUUUGUACGGAGCGAAAAGGCUUCCACUAAUACUGGGGGCUCAUGACGGUACCGUAAGA